CAUGAACUUCCCCUACUUCUACGUCGUGGCCUCCGUGAUGCUCAACGUCCGCCUGCAGGUGCGGAUCGAGUGAGCACCCGCGGCCACCUCCAGGCCGCGACGACAGGGCUGCAGGCAUGAAGAACGGCGGGGUCCGGGGCCGGCGGGACGCGGCCGGGAAGGAGGAGGGGCGGCCCGGGCCCCAGAGCCCGAGACCUCCGCGGAGGACAGGGCCACUGAGCCCCCGAGCCCCCGAGCGCCAGCUCCGGUCACCCACAUCACGGCCGGGGACAGACUGCACAGAAACUGGCAAGAACGGGACCGUUCCGUCGAGCUCCAGAAAAUUAUUUGAGUGCAGCCGACCUGUUGCCUCACCUUGGCCGAAGGCGGGGAGCAGGAGGAAGAAAUUCUGCAGCAGGAACGUGAAUGACUGGCCCUGACGGAAAAGGGCGGCCCCCAUGCCGAGGAUCACACAGGAGAGUCUCCUCUGGAUGGGCUUGGAUUGGUCCUGGCUGCGUGGCUGACUGCAGACUAGCAGCAGGGCAGAGGGGAGCCAGGAGAGACCCUCACUCAUGCCUACCCAGUCCCACAACUGCUCUGGCAACUGCUUGCUCCUGGUCCACGUACCUAGUGUUCCUGGGACUGAGAAUCACGGCAGCCUGGUGGGCCCUGGGGACAGAGUGGCCGAGCCUCCCACCAUCUGCCCUCCUUAGCUGCCCAGCUGGAGCACAGGUCCUGGGUGAAGAUCUCUGCCUGCCCCUCCCUGGGGCCUGAGGCUGGUUGGAGACCACCACGUGCCCCCUGCGGAUUCCACAGAUGGGGCCUGAUGGCUUCCUUCCUUGUGCCAAGUUGCCUGGGAGCCCCUGAUCCUGGUGUCCCCUCCUCCACCCCAACCCUGUCCCCCCUAGGACCACUUCUGGGAGCUCACUAGCCAGCUGACUCCAUCCAUGGAUCUCCAGGGACAGCCUCUGAGAGACUGACAUGGGGCUACGUGGGAGGAGAGUGGCAGGGGAUGAGAAACCUUGGGAAUGAUACACAGAUGUGCCCCUUUCAAGCCCAGGUCUCACCCUCUGGGAGACUUGAUCCCCAGCUCCAGCCUCUUCCUGGGCCAGCCAGGCAGGGAGGAGGAGGCUGAGAAUGGCAUGAGAGAGGCUCUUCACUGACCGUGUGUGGGAGAGUGGGUGUGAGUGUGAGUGUGCCCACGCACACACUAGUGGCUGGGCAUUGCCGCGGGAGUGGAGCCAUUGAGCAGGGUGAGCUGCGCUGGGUGCCCUGUCCUCCCUGCGGAGCUGCCUGGGGCCCAGGAGGCCACUUCUCAACAGAGAGAAAGCGUGCUGGAGCCUCAGGGGCCCCUGGCCUCGGAGCCCCCGCCCCUGCAGAGCGGCCGCACCCCGUGGGAGGGCAGGGGAGGUCUGCGGGGGCCCUGGCUGGGGCUGGCUGGGCUCCAAGGGACUGUCCCAGGAAGGUGAGAGUCCCUGCCCCUGCUUUGCUUACCGUUUGGCCUUGAGUCGGUAGCUGCUUCUGCUUUCCCGCCUCUUCCUUGUGCCCCCACUGGGCCCUUGCUGCUUGACGGGCCCUCCAUGCACUUUAUUUAUUUGCAGUCUGUUUUUCAGGCAGUGAAGCUUCAACAAAAUCAGAGACACCGACUUGAAUAAGAUGACUUUCACUUUUCUGUGAUUAACUGUGCACCGGUCAGCACAGUCAGAUCAGAGAAAAGUUCUUGUUUCAGGUGUUGUCAAAUCUUAUUGUCUGUCUAAGUUAAGAAGAGUCCUCUGAGUUCAAUAAAAUAAAAUAAACGCUGGAGGCCUCCUGUUUCUGGUUUGGCGCAGCCUUGGAGGAGAGAGGGGCCAGUGGGGAGAGCGGCCCACCCUGGUGGCCAGGAGCUGGGGGAGGGGAGCCCCCUGAGGGCUGUGAGGGGGCGGGGCUGUGACAGGGGACUGGGGCCUGGUCAGAGGAGGCUCUGAGACCGGGCUUGACCUGGACCUCUGCCCCCAUCAGGAGAAGGCGGCAGCACAGGCCUGGCCCAAGAGGUGGCAGGUUGUCCCAGUUUGUUCCAGUCACAGCCUUUAUUUGAAUCACCUAACACCUAAGUCUUUCCUUCAUUUUAGAGCCUGGUGUUAGAAAGCGCUUAAUUCAGUUGAACCCCGAGGUGGGCUGGGGGAGGUGACAUGGAAUGGACUGUCUGCAGAUCAUUUUGUGUCACCCAGAAGCCUGUCUGCAGGAGCAGGUGACAAGGUCCCCAUCCCUCCUUGCCAGCGGGUGGUGCUGAGUUUUGGAGAAGAUGAGCCUUCCCUUCCCUGACCUUAGGCCCAGGCUGUCCAGUCAGAUGCCGGGCCGGGGCUCCGAGGGUGCAGGGGGGAGCUGGGCCGGCACGGGAACGCAGCCCCCACAGCAGAGGAAGGAUGGUGGGGAGGACACAGAGGAGGCAUCCUGAGGACAUGGGGUGUGGUGACACCCUGGGGUACAGCCUAGGGUAAAGGGCCCUGGGGCACUCCUCACCUGUCACCAAGAGCUCCCCAGGGGUCAAAACACCUUGACAAGAGGGCCCCUUCCAACAUCUGCCACCACAGGAAGGAGGGGUGGACCCCACUCCCAGCCAGUGCCCUGAGCUCCCACUUCCAUUGUCCAGAUGGUUCUGUACAGUCCCUGCUGGUCCCAUACCCACUUCAGGGACCAGUAGCCUGGAACAAGCAGAUGGGAAAGGAUGAACCGGCGCCCAAGGGUGAGACACUGAUGAGAGAGGACCGCGUCCUCACUAGGGAGGAAGGCAGGCUGGCUCAUCACUCUCUGGUCCAGAACAGCGCCUGGGAGACCAAAGACCUGCGCCCUGAGCCCAGAUCCUCCGCUGACCAUGGUGGGGCCCCAGGCCAGCCACGGGCACUGGUGCGUUCUCGGGAAGGAGCCUUCAGGGUGGUGUGGGCCUUUAGUGAUGAUGUUUAUUCCACACGUGUCUCAGGUCGCAGCUGGAGCAGCCCUGUCACCAUGAGGAAAGGAAACCAUGUGAAGGGAAGUGACAGGUGAUGAAGCCUUAGGAGCUGCAGGCACCUGCUGGGUGCUUUGCUUCCCUAACUUCAUAAUCCCCACCCACGGCCACCUGUUGGAGGAGGUCACGGAAAGGAUGUCACCACAGGCUGUCCCGCGAGCUGGCCCCGGGCAGUCAGAGGGUCCUCACCCUCCCCUGUUCUUGGGAUACACGGUCCACCCAAUGUUCCCACAGCUGGGGCUGAUUCAAGGAUGCAGCCUUGAGAGAAUGAGAGAGGAUCUGGCCUGAAUAUGUGACUGAAUCCCGGGAAGGUCUCUGUGCAAACUUCUGAGACUCUGGCAGGCUGGCUGCGCUCCAGGCAGCGGAGUCCUGGCGGGGAGGGCGGAAGAGCGGCCGGGAGGGCGGUUCCAGGAGCGCUGGGCCAAUAGCGUCAGAGCGCGAGAAACAGAGGCCGCGAGGAGCCCCGCCCACCCACCCCAGGGGGCACCGCUGAGCUUGGAUGCGGGACCGAUGUCGUUAUGGAUAAACGCUGUGGUGCAGUCACGGUCAGUUUCUUACCCUGUACUCCUGCAGGUGGACCCAAGUGUGUGCAGGCCUUAGGGGUCUGGCA
Molecule: non-coding RNA, 3572 nt
Organism: Vicugna pacos (alpaca)
Lineage: Eukaryota; Metazoa; Chordata; Mammalia; Artiodactyla; Camelidae
Source: RefSeq, a predicted model, not a curated record